GAUGAACGCUGGCGGCGUGCCUAAUACAUGCAAGUCGAGCGAACAGACGAGGAGCUUGCUCCUCUGACGUUAGCGGCGGACGGGUGAGUAACACGUGGAUAACCUACCUAUAAGACUGGGAUAACUUCGGGAAACCGGAGCUAAUACCGGAUAAUAUAUUGAACCGCAUGGUUCAGUAGUGAAAGACGGUUUUGCUGUCACUUAUAGAUGGAUCCGCGCCGCAUUAGCUAGUUGGUAAGGUAACGGCUUACCAAGGCAAUGAUGCGUAGCCGACCUGAGAGGGUGAUCGGCCACACUGGAACUGAGACACGGUCCAGACUCCUACGGGAGGCAGCAGUAGGGAAUCUUCCGCAAUGGGCGAAAGCCUGACGGAGCAACGCCGCGUGAGUGAUGAAGGUCUUCGGAUCGUAAAACUCUGUUAUUAGGGAAGAACAAAUGUGUAAGUAACUAUGCACGUCUUGACGGUACCUAAUCAGAAAGCCACGGCUAACUACGUG
This 497-nucleotide ribosomal RNA is filed under the name uncultured bacterium. Its description in RNAcentral is "partial 16S ribosomal RNA". It matches the Rfam family "Bacterial small subunit ribosomal RNA", at positions 28 to 507 of the family's 1533-position model. The record is from RNAcentral.